RNAcentral lists this small RNA (25 nucleotides) under Arabidopsis thaliana (thale cress). Its description in RNAcentral is "ATSL139310". Lineage: Eukaryota; Viridiplantae; Streptophyta; Magnoliopsida; Brassicales; Brassicaceae. The record is from RNAcentral.
GAGGAUGGAAGGCAAGGGAAGUCGC